Molecule: unclassified non-coding RNA, 433 nt
Filed under: uncultured Russula
Lineage: Eukaryota; Fungi; Basidiomycota; Agaricomycetes; Russulales; Russulaceae
Description: sequence contains ITS2
Rfam family: 5.8S ribosomal RNA (bases 1-154)
Source: RNAcentral
AACUUUUAACAACGGAUCACUUGGCUCUCGCAUCGAUGAAGAACGCAGCGAAAUACGAUACGUAAUGUGAAUUGCAGAAUUCAGUGAAUCAUCGAAUCUUUGAACGCACCUUGCGCCCCUUGGAAUUCCGAGGGGCACACCCGUUUGAGUGUCGUGAACAUCCUUCAACCUUUCUUGGUUUCUUAACCGGGGAAGGCUUGGACUUUGGGGGUCUUUCAUUGCUGGCCUCUUUGAAGCCAGCUCCUCCUAAAUGGAUUAGUGUGGUCUGCUUUGCCGAUCCUUGACGUGAUAAGAUGUUUCUACGUCUUGGGUUUCGCACUGUCGUUUUAGACCCCGCUUCUAACCGUCUUGCAUUCAAGACAGAGUUUUAAACCUUGACCUCAAAUCGGGUGAGACUACCCGCUGAACUUAAGCAUAUCAAUAAGCGGAGGCU